Small nuclear RNA from Balaenoptera musculus (blue whale), 107 nucleotides. Lineage: Eukaryota; Metazoa; Chordata; Mammalia; Artiodactyla; Balaenopteridae. The record is from Ensembl.
GUGCUCUCUUUGGCAGCACAUAUACUAAAAUAGGAAGGAUACGGAGAAGAUUAGCAUGGCCCUCGCGCAAGGAUGACUCUCAAAUUCUUGAAGCGUUCCAUAUUCAA